Non-coding RNA from Podarcis lilfordi (Lilford's wall lizard), 77 nucleotides. The record is from the annotation of a GenBank genome assembly. Lineage: Eukaryota; Metazoa; Chordata; Lepidosauria; Squamata; Lacertidae.
ACCCUAGAAAAUAGCUCAGUCAGUAGAGCAUAAGACUCUUAGCCUCAAGGCCGUGGGUUUGAGCCCCAGAUUGGGCA